ACGACUCUCGGCAACGGAUAUCUCGGCUCUCGCAUCGAUGAAGAACGUAGCGAAAUGCGAUACUUGGUGUGAAUUGCAGAAUCCCGUGAACCAUCGAGUCUUUGAACGCAAGUUGCGCCCGAGGCCACCCGGCCGAGGGCACGCCUGCCUGGGCGUCACGCACCGCGCU
Molecule: ribosomal RNA, 169 nt
Filed under: Magnolia tripetala
Lineage: Eukaryota; Viridiplantae; Streptophyta; Magnoliopsida; Magnoliales; Magnoliaceae
Also listed under: 3 other names
Description: 5.8S ribosomal RNA
Rfam family: 5.8S ribosomal RNA
About the family: 5.8S ribosomal RNA (5.8S rRNA) is a component of the large subunit of the eukaryotic ribosome.
Source: RNAcentral